GGCUUAUUGACAAUAAUUUUAAGUCUGGCCUGCCCAAUGAGUGAUUGAAUGGCCGCGGUAUACUGACCGUGCAAAGGUAGCAUAAUCAUUAGUUUUUUAAUUGAAAGCUUGAAUGAAUGGUUCAAUGAAAAAAUUUCUGUCUCUGUAAAAGUUUAUUAGAAUUUUAUUUUUAAGUAAAAAAGCUUAAAUAUUUAUAGAAGACGAGAAGACCCUAUAGAGUUUUAUACAACUAGUUAAGUGGAUAUUAUUAGGUUAAAAUUUGAUGUUUAUUUUGUUAUUGUAUUUUAUUGGGGUGAUAGAAAAAUUAAUUAAACUUUUUUUUGUUGAAAAACAUUUAUUUGUGAAUUUUUGAUCCUAAAAUUUAGAUUAAAAGAUUAAAUUACCUUAGGGAUAACAGCGUUAUAUUUUUUAGAGUUCUUAUCGAAGAAAAAGAUUGCGACCUCGAUGUUGGAUUAAAAUAAAUUAUUGGUGUAGAAGCUGAAUAAUUAGGUCUGUUCGACCUAUAAAAUUUUACAUGAUCUGAGUUUAGACCGGUGUGAG
RNAcentral lists this ribosomal RNA (540 nucleotides) under Trigonopterus sp. 730 AR-2022a. RNAcentral's name for it is "partial large subunit ribosomal RNA". It matches the Rfam family "Bacterial large subunit ribosomal RNA", at positions 1825 to 2625 of the family's 2925-position model. Lineage: Eukaryota; Metazoa; Arthropoda; Insecta; Coleoptera; Curculionidae. The record is from RNAcentral.